Molecule: RNA transcript, 1089 nt
Organism: Grammomys surdaster
Lineage: Eukaryota; Metazoa; Chordata; Mammalia; Rodentia; Muridae
Gene: Gemin6
Gene name: gem nuclear organelle associated protein 6
Exons: 5
Source: RefSeq, a predicted model, not a curated record
CCGACUCAAGACGGCUUGGUAGCGCGUGAGCAAUACUUUAAGGUAGUUAGGCGUCUCUGCAGCGUUUCCCUGGAUUGCUCACAGCUCUGGGUGUGGCAGCCUCAGGGCAGGAGUCCUCGAGCUCUAGAACUUCGCUGGCGCGUUCUCAGCGAAAAUUGGCGCAAACCCCGCGGAGAAUCAUCUGGAAAGAAUCUAGCCAGCUGGUAACCAUGAGCGAAUGGAUGAAGAAAAGCCCCCUAGAAUGGGAAGAUUACGUUUAUAAAGAAGUAAGAGUGAUAGCCAGUGAGAAGGAGUAUAAAGGAUGGCUUCUAACUACAGACCCAGUCUCCGCCAACAUUGUCCUCGUGAACUUCCUUGAAGAUGGCAGACUGUCUGUGACUGGAAUUAUGGGACAUUCUGUGCAGACUGUGGAAACUGUGAGUGCAGGGGACCACAGAGUGAGAGAGAAGCUGAUGCAUUUAUUCACAUCUGGAGAUUGUGAAGGAUACAGCCCUGAGGAUCUGGAAAGGAAGAAGACUAGUAUAAAGAAAUGGCUUGAGAAGAACCACAUCCCUGUCACUGAGCAGGGAGAUGCACAAAGGACUCUCUGUGUGGCUGGGGUUCUGACUAUAGACCCACCAUAUGCUCCAGAAAAUUGCAGCAGCUCUAAUGAGAUCAUUCUGUCCCGAAUUCAGGAUCUUAUUCAAGGACAUCUUUCAGCUUCCCAGUGAGAGGCCAAGCACUAUGCACACGCUGACUUCACUGGUUUUGUAUUAAAUUCUUCAAAUGAUGGAUGGAACUCAAGAAGUGUUAUCAUGUGAUGACUCCAUCUGUCAGAAUGAGCUCUUCACGACCCAAGCCUUUAAACAGAUCAGCUGCUCCUUUACCUGAUGGGAAGCGGCCACAAACCGGAUCCAGCCGUCAUCCAAGGAGACAACGAAUGCCCCUCUCUGAAGCUGCACAUUCACUUGACCUCCCCCGAACAAGACUAGGGGGUACACAGACACCAUGCUGCAGUCCCGGAUAAACACCCGGCUAGUUUUGAUUUUCUCAUGGUACAACAGGUAGGGGCUGUCGAAGUGUCUGACCUGUAACACAAAACCUCAGAUG